Lingula anatina is the source of this 772-nucleotide long non-coding RNA. The record is from RefSeq and is a predicted model, not a curated record. NCBI's taxonomy places the organism in Eukaryota, Metazoa, Brachiopoda, Lingulata, Lingulida, Lingulidae.
CGCCCUGUUGGUGCAACCGGGCCCAGGUGUAUACCAAGUGGUUUAAAUUCCUCUGCCCUACUUACUUCAACAUUACCAAUGUAUUGAAAAUCAGGAAACGCAGCAAGAUUUUGAUAAUCAAACACGUUCAUCUGACGAGACACAGGAAUCACGUUACAUGAAACCAUAUCAUAAUCAUGAAAACAUGGGUUUUGGUCUUGAUAUUGAGGACGACGUGGACCCACAGUACGCGGCACUUGAAGUUAGGACUGAUUACACCGUCCCUACAAUAGACUACUCAACCAUAGGACCGACUGAGUACACUCGCCCUUACGUUCCUCAACACAUGAGAAGGAAUGCAAGGUUUACGUAAACUUAACUAAACCGCUGCACAAAAUUGAACGCAAUGUAGCCUCUUCAAGUUGUGCUUUUAAUGGUAUCUAUCAUUAAAUGAAUAGACUGGUGUAUAAGGAAUAUAAACAUCAUGUUCAAGAGAUCAUUCAAAUUUAUGUGGUACAUAUACUAUUGUAUCGUUAUUCAGAAAUGGCAAACGGUACAUCAUAGGUCAGAACUGAGAAAAUGAACAGUGAUUAAAACAAUCACAACGUAAUUGUGACUAUAACAGUGAGAGUUGGUGACCGUUAACUGAAAAUUGGGAACAAAGCGUUAUUAUAAACAUGAAAGGUAAAGUAAAUUGAUAAUUGCAAUAGAGUAAUAAUUUGCGGUGGUGUACUCGGGACUAUCUAACCAGUUACUAUUGUAUGCAAUUAAAAGUUCUACUAACACAUAUUUC